AAAAAAAUUGUGCUUAUUUCGUUGUUAUUUGACAAUGAAAAUGUAAUACAACAAACAAAUUAUACACUACCAAGAGUAUAGUACAUAAAUAAAUCAUAACAUAGUAAACAAAUCAGUGUGAAACUUCAUCAAAAGUACCUCACAACCAAACAUAAUUUGAACCUUCACACACGAAGGAGCUGCGUAAACCAGGUGGACAUGAAACUCAACACCACCAUUGUACAUACAGAUGAAAACAGAGCAACAGCAGAGGACACCGGUAGAGACUGCGUAGGCGAAAACGGCAUAUAAAGAGGUCCAGGAGCAAUCAUAGCAUCAGGAUUAGGAGGGCUAGGGGUAGAAGGAAUUAAGGGUAAUGAAGAAUCAGUAGGAGCAAGCUCAGAGCCACCUGGUGAAGGAAAAAGAGGACUUAUAUCAGGAGACAGAGCAGGUGGAUUUGGUAACAAUGCAGGGGCAGCUGAAAUUGAAGAAGAUGGUGAUAUGUGUAAGGCUAGUGAUAAAGAAAAAAAAUUAAUAACAACACAAAUUAAGAAAAAUCUUGUAGAUAUUGAAGUGGAAGCCAUUAAUGUUAGUGAUAAUUUUGGAAUGAAGGAGAGGGAGUUGGUGUUAUGAUUGAAGGAUAAUUG
RNAcentral lists this unclassified non-coding RNA (626 nucleotides) under Hevea brasiliensis (rubber tree). Lineage: Eukaryota; Viridiplantae; Streptophyta; Magnoliopsida; Malpighiales; Euphorbiaceae. The record is from RNAcentral.